AUUGAACGCUGGCGGCAGGCCUAACACAUGCAAGUCGAGCGGAUGAAGGGAGCUUGCUCCUGGAUUCAGCGGCGGACGGGUGAGUAAUGCCUAGGAAUCUGCCUGGUAGUGGGGGAUAACGUCCGGAAACGGGCGCUAAUACCGCAUACGUCCUGAGGGAGAAAGUGGGGGAUCUUCGGACCUCACGCUAUCAGAUGAGCCUAGGUCGGAUUAGCUAGUUGGUGGGGUAAAGGCCUACCAAGGCGACGAUCCGUAACUGGCCUGAGAGGAUGAUCAGUCACACUGGAACUGAGACACGGUCCAGACUCCUACGGGAGGCAGCAGUGGGGAAUAUUGGACAAUGGGCGAAAGCCUGAUCCAGCCAUGCCGCAUGUGUGAAGAAGGUCUUCGGAUUGUAAAGCACUUUAAGUUGGGAGGAAGGGCAGUAAGUUAAUACCUUGCUGUUUUGACGUUACCAACAGAAUAAGCACCGGCUAACUUCGUG
RNAcentral lists this ribosomal RNA (484 nucleotides) under uncultured bacterium. Its description in RNAcentral is "partial 16S ribosomal RNA". It matches the Rfam family "Bacterial small subunit ribosomal RNA", at positions 30 to 507 of the family's 1533-position model. The record is from RNAcentral.